This 508-nucleotide ribosomal RNA is filed under the name uncultured bacterium. RNAcentral's name for it is "partial 16S ribosomal RNA". It matches the Rfam family "Bacterial small subunit ribosomal RNA", at positions 29 to 523 of the family's 1533-position model. The record is from RNAcentral.
AUUGAACGCUGGCGGCAGGCCUAACACAUGCAAGUCGAGCGGCAGCGGGAAAGUAGCUUGCUACUUUUGCCGGCGAGCGGCGGACGGGUGAGUAAUGCCUGGGGAUCUGCCCAGUCGAGGGGGAUAACUACUGGAAACGGUAGCUAAUACCGCAUACGCCCUACGGGGGAAAGCAGGGGACCUUCGGGCCUUGCGCGAUUGGAUGAACCCAGGUGGGAUUAGCUAGUUGGUGAGGUAAUGGCUCACCAAGGCGACGAUCCCUAGCUGGUCUGGGAGGAUGAUCAGCCACACGGGACCUGAGACACGGUCCAGACUCCUACGGGAGGCAGCAGUGGGGAAUAUUGCACAAGGGGGGAAACCCUGAUGCAGCCAUGCCGCGUGUGUGAAGAAGGCCUUCGGGUUGUAAAGCACUUUCAGCGAGGAGGAAAGGUUGGUAGCUAAUAACUGCCAGCUGUGACGUUACUCGCAGAAGAAGCACCGGCUAACUCCGUGCCAGCAGCCGCCGUAA